ACAGAGGCCUCGAGCGUUAGGCGGAAUCACUGGGCUUAAAGCGUGUGUAGGCGGAUCGUUAAGUACCUUGUGAAAUCCCACGGCUCAACCGUGGAACGGCUGGGUAUACUGGCGGUCUUGGGCCAUCUAGGGGCGACCGGAACAAACGGUGGAGCGGUGAAAUGCGUAGAUAUCGUUUGGAACGCCGAUGGUGAAAACAGGUCGCUGGGGAUGUGCCGACGCUGAGACACGAAAGCCAGGGGAGCAAACGGGA
Molecule: ribosomal RNA, 253 nt
Filed under: uncultured prokaryote
Description: partial 16S ribosomal RNA
Rfam family: Bacterial small subunit ribosomal RNA
Source: RNAcentral